This 328-nucleotide ribosomal RNA is filed under the name Escherichia coli. RNAcentral's name for it is "partial 23S ribosomal RNA". It matches the Rfam family "Bacterial large subunit ribosomal RNA", at positions 1 to 365 of the family's 2925-position model. RNAcentral also lists the same sequence under 1 other name. Lineage: Bacteria; Pseudomonadati; Pseudomonadota; Gammaproteobacteria; Enterobacterales; Enterobacteriaceae. The record is from RNAcentral.
GGUUAAGCGACUAAGCGUACACGGUGGAUGCCCUGGCAGUCAGAGGCGAUGAAGGACGUGCUAAUCUGCGAUAAGCGUCGGUAAGGUGAUAUGAACCGUUAUAACCGGCGAUUUCCGAAUGGGGAAACCCAGUGUGAUUCGUCACACUAUCAUUAACUGAAUCCAUAGGUUAAUGAGGCGAACCGGGGGAACUGAAACAUCUAAGUACCCCGAGGAAAAGAAAUCAACCGAGAUUCCCCCAGUAGCGGCGAGCGAACGGGGAGCAGCCCAGAGCCUGAAUCAGUGUGUGUGUUAGUGGAAGCGUCUGGAAAGGCGCGCGAUACAGGGU